Molecule: ribosomal RNA, 232 nt
Filed under: uncultured bacterium
Lineage: Bacteria
Description: partial 16S ribosomal RNA
Rfam family: Bacterial small subunit ribosomal RNA
Source: RNAcentral
UACGGGGGGAGCAAGCGUUGUUCGGAUUUACUGGGCGUAAAGGGCGCGUAGGCGGUGCGACAAGUCACUUGUGAAAUCUCCGGGCUCAACUCGGAACGGCCAAGUGAUACUGUCGCGCUAGAGUGCGGAAGGGGCAACUGGAAUUCUCGGUGUAGCGGUGAAAUGCGUAGAUAUCGAGAGGAACACCUGAGGCGAAGGCGGGUUGCUGGGCCGACACUGACGCUGAGGCGCG